UUGGAGGGCAAGUCUGGUGCCAGCAGCCGCGGUAAUUCCAGCUCCAAUAGCGUAUAUUAAAGUUGUUGCAGUUAAAAAGCUCGUAGUUGAAUUUCGGGAUUGGCGUGUCGGUCGUGCCUUACGGGGUAUGAACUGGCGUCGUCGAUUUCUCACCUUCUGGAGAAUCACGAUGCCCUUAAUUGGGUGUCGUGUGGAACCGGGACCUUUACCUUGAAAAAAUUAGAGUGUUUAAAGCAGGCAUUUUUGCUCGAAUACAUUAGCAUGGAAUAAUAAAAUAGGACAGUUUGGUUCUAUUUUGUUGGUUUCUAGGAUCACCGUAAUGAUUAAUAGGGAUAGUUGGGGGCAUUAGUAUUCAAUUGUCAGAGGUGAAAUUCUUGGAUUUAUUGAAGACUAACUACUGCGAAAGCAUUUGCCAAGGAUGUUUUCAUUAAUCAAGAACGAAAGUUAGGGGAUCGAAGACGAUCAGAUACCGUCGUAGUCUUAACCAUAAACUAUGCCGACUAGGAAUCAGACGAUGUUAAUUUUUUAAUGACUCGUUUGGCACCUUACGGGAAAC
This 556-nucleotide ribosomal RNA is filed under the name uncultured Glomus. RNAcentral's name for it is "SSU rRNA". It matches the Rfam family "Eukaryotic small subunit ribosomal RNA", at positions 548 to 1098 of the family's 1831-position model. The record is from RNAcentral. Lineage: Eukaryota; Fungi; Glomeromycota; Glomeromycetes; Glomerales; Glomeraceae.